GACGAACGCUGGCGGCGUGCUUAACACAUGCAAGUCGAACGGAAAGGCCUCUUUCGGGGGGUACUCGAGUGGCGAACGGGUGAGUAACACGUGAGUAACCUGCCCUUGACUUUGGGAUAACUUCAGGAAACUGGGGCUAAUACCGGAUAGGAGCUCCUGCUGCAUGGUGGGGGUUGGAAAGUUUCGGCGGUUGGGGAUGGACUCGCGGCUGAUCAGCUUGUUGGUGGGGUAGUGGCUUACCAAGGCUUUGACGGGUAGCCGGCCUGAGAGGGUAACCGGCCACAUUGGGACUGAGAGACGGCCCAGACUACUACGGGAGGCAGCAGUGGGGAAUAUUGCACAAUGGGUGGAAGCCUGAUGCAGCAACGCCGUGCGCGGGAUGACGGUCUUCGGGUUGUAAACCGCUUUCGCUCAUGACGAAGCUUUGUGUGACGGUAGUGGGUAAAGAAGCACCGGCUAACUACGUG
Molecule: ribosomal RNA, 467 nt
Filed under: uncultured bacterium
Lineage: Bacteria
Description: partial 16S ribosomal RNA
Rfam family: Bacterial small subunit ribosomal RNA
Source: RNAcentral